This 254-nucleotide ribosomal RNA is filed under the name uncultured bacterium. RNAcentral describes it as "partial 16S ribosomal RNA". It matches the Rfam family "Bacterial small subunit ribosomal RNA", at positions 524 to 776 of the family's 1533-position model. The record is from RNAcentral.
UACGUAGGGUGCAAGCGUUGUCCGGAUUUAUUGGGCGUAAAGAGCUCGUAGGCGGUUUGAUUAGUCGGGUGUGAAACCUCCAGGCUUAACCUGGAGCCGCCACUCGAUACUGUCAUGACUAGAAUUCGGUAGGGGGCCACGGAAUUCCUGGUGUAGCGGUGAAAUGCGCAGAUAUCAGGAGGAACACCAGCAGCGAAGGCGGUGGUCUGGGCCGACAUUGACGCUGAGGAGCGAAAGCGUGGGGAGCGAACAGG